UUGAUUUCUCUGGAACGCAGUAGCAGCACAGGAAAUCGAUCACAGCAGCAACAGAAAUCUACUCGUGAAUGUGACAUCAAGAUCUGGAAAUGGCGAGUGUCAAGAAAUCACGGCAACGGAUGUGCAGAUCGGAGAUGCAGACGUAAAUGUCAAGACUGGAAAUCGCGAAUGUGUUGGAAAAAGAAGUCGCGAGAAUGUCAAGACGACGGAAAUCGCAAGCAGUUGUUGCAAUAAAUAAAGUCUUUUCCGGGAAGAAAAAAAUUACAAUGGAGUAAUAGCAGCUGAUACCAUCUUAUAUAUCACUCAACAAGUAAUUAGGGAAAAAACAAUCACAUCUCUUAAGUUGUAACUUAUAUAAUUAACUACUAACUAUAUUAUAAUUAAGAAUAAAUAAUUUCAAUUUUCAUUGUGAAAUUAUUUGUAUUUAAUGGAGU
This 434-nucleotide long non-coding RNA is filed under the name Zostera marina. Its description in RNAcentral is "long non-coding RNA (ZMAR_LNC003309)". The record is from RNAcentral. Lineage: Eukaryota; Viridiplantae; Streptophyta; Magnoliopsida; Alismatales; Zosteraceae.